CACGUAGGGUGCGAGCGUUGUCCGGAAUUAUUGGGCGUAAAGAGCUCGUAGGCGGUGUGUCGCGUCGGCCGUGAAAACCUGCAGCUUAACUGUGGGCUUGCGGUCGAUACGGGCAUCACUGGAGUUCGGCAGGGGAGACUGGAAUUCCUGGUGUAGCGGUGAAAUGCGCAGAUAUCAGGAGGAACAGCCGGUGGCGAAGG
RNAcentral lists this ribosomal RNA (200 nucleotides) under uncultured bacterium. RNAcentral describes it as "partial 16S ribosomal RNA". It matches the Rfam family "Bacterial small subunit ribosomal RNA", at positions 524 to 721 of the family's 1533-position model. The record is from RNAcentral.